GUUUGAUCCUGGCUCAGAACGAACGCUGGCGGCACGCCUAACACAUGCAAGUCGAACGAGAAGGUACUUUCGGGUACUGGACAGUGGCGGACGGGUGAGUAACACGUGGGAACAUGCCUUUUGGUACGGAACAACGCCUGGAAACGGGUGCUAAUACCGUAUAAGCCCUUAGGGGGAAAGAUUUAUCGCCGAAAGAUUGGCCCGCGCUAGAUUAGUUAGUUGGUAA
This 226-nucleotide ribosomal RNA is filed under the name Goniomonas pacifica. RNAcentral describes it as "partial Bacterial small subunit ribosomal RNA". It matches the Rfam family "Bacterial small subunit ribosomal RNA", at positions 11 to 255 of the family's 1533-position model. The record is from RNAcentral. Lineage: Eukaryota; Cryptophyceae; Goniomonadida; Goniomonadaceae.